This 497-nucleotide ribosomal RNA is filed under the name uncultured bacterium. RNAcentral describes it as "partial 16S ribosomal RNA". It matches the Rfam family "Bacterial small subunit ribosomal RNA", at positions 28 to 507 of the family's 1533-position model. The record is from RNAcentral.
GAUGAACGCUGGCGGCGUGCCUAAUACAUGCAAGUCGAGCGAACGGACGAGAAGCUUGCUUUUCUGAUGUUAGCGGCGGACGGGUGAGUAACACGUGGAUAACCUACCUAUAAGACUGGGAUAACUUCGGGAAACCGGAGCUAAUACCGGAUAAUAUUUUGAACCGCAUGGUUCAAAAGUGAAAGACGGUCUUGCUGUCACUUAUAGAUGGAUCCGCGCUGCAUUAGCUAGUUGGUAAGGUAACGGCUUACCAAGGCAACGAUGCAUAGCCGACCUGAGAGGGUGAUCGGCCACACUGGAACUGAGACACGGUCCAGACUCCUACGGGAGGCAGCAGUAGGGAAUCUUCCGCAAUGGGCGAAAGCCUGACGGAGCAACGCCGCGUGAGUGAUGAAGGUCUUCGGAUCGUAAAACUCUGUUAUUAGCGAAGAACAUAUGUGUAAGUAACUGUGCACAUCUUGACGGUACCUAAUCAGAAAGCCACGGCUAACUACGUG